Molecule: long non-coding RNA, 2588 nt
Organism: Aedes albopictus (Asian tiger mosquito)
Lineage: Eukaryota; Metazoa; Arthropoda; Insecta; Diptera; Culicidae
Exons: 4
Source: RefSeq, a predicted model, not a curated record
CUUGUUUACAGUUCGGAAAAUUUGCCACGGGAUUUGCGCGCGGGAUUUGGCACGGGAAUCAACUCGGAAAAUUUUUCCGCCGACUGUUCUCCUCAUCUCUCCACAAAUAACUUUGACGUUAGUUUACGUGUUUACAACGGUCCCAGAGAAAAUAUUUUGUCUGAUCGGUUCAUUCGUUUCGUUUUUUGGUGCUGCAAUUGAUCAUUCGUUGUUUAAUAAUUAUUCAAAAGUGUACCAUCCGAUGUCUGCAUGUUGCUGCUGCUCAAACCACCCAAACCCGUACCUGACCGUCCGGUGUUCGUGGUUCCAGGAACUAUGGUACAUGCUGAAAAAUUCGAUUGAAAGCGGUCGCCAAAAAUGCUUCGACCCAGGAGGACAAGUGAAAGUAACGGCACAGCUCGGCUUGUGCUCAGCGGAUCGCUGAAAUUAAUAAACAUCGAUCAACUCUGGGUCAUCGAGCAGCGGCGCACCAAGGCUUCGCUUCAAAAGGCUAGUUUUUAUGUCCCGACGACGCAAUUGAACUACAAUACGCCCAUUGGGAGUCCGCAUCUAUACUACUACUUCGCUGUCGGAUCCACCCUUGGAGCACGGACAACAGCGAACAUUGGAUGACGCAAGCAGGACCAUUGCUCGGAGUCUACACGGCGUCAGAACCACGGAAGGUGUUAGUUAUCUAACAACACCUAUUUCAAUUUCUAAAGCAGUCCGCAACAAAAUUUCUAGAGGAAUUGCUCUAAUUUAAACUGGAGAAGCAGUCACCAAAAUUCUGCAGAUGCCUUCCAAUUACUUCCAUCGGUUUCGGAUCCAAGAUCGGCGCCGGCAAACUAAUUACGUAACGGGUAGCACAGAUGGCAAACGGGAACAUGACGACGGUGCACCAUGAUUCGAGCGAGCUCGAACGAUGGCUGUCAUUUCGUUCCAACGGUAUCCCGAAACGCAUGGAAUCCAAUUUCACCGGUGCGUGUGACACCGGCUUUCGACCGACUCGAUUGACGACUUUAUCGAAUUGGUUAAAUACCCCUCCAAACUGCGGACUAUUUUGCACAAAAUGAUAUCCGCUGACAAAGCUGUUGAAAAAAGUUGACUGAAAAAUAUUGACGAGUUUCAACGGGACAAGGCCUGCACAACAUGGACACGGGAUGUUCCCCAGCGGAACUAGCUUUUUAUAUGGAACUAGCAUAGCGACAAAACGAUCCAGAUGCUGUAUAAAUCGACUUGUGAUGAGUGACAGCGCAGCCGUCUUCCAGUGCUAUAAAAAAUUUUCACUCCCGCACUAAAUACACCAUGUACAGGACCCUGAUAGGACUGGUGGUAUUCUACGGGCAUGAGAUCUGGACUAUGCUCAAGGAGAAUAGCAAGUGUUCGAGCGUCGGGUGCUAAGAACAACCGUUGGCGGUGUGCAGGAGAACUAUAUGAGGCGGCGAAAGCUGGAAUGAAACGAUGGACAGGGCAUGUCGUGAGAAUGCCGGACAACAAGCCUACAAAGCUGGUGUUCGCAAGAGAUCCGUAUAGUACAAGGAGACCUGGAGGGUAGCAUGCAAGAUCAGGUGCAGAACGAUCUGGCAAAUGUAGAACGCAAAGGAAUUGUUGAAUCAGUUUUAUUGUAAAAUGUAAUACUAAAUAAAUAAAUGAAUGCUAUGAAAAAUGACCAAAAGUAGUGUAACUCCUCAACGAAAAAAAAGGGAAAAAUCUCAGAAUAAACUUCUCAGGAGGAAAAUCUAGCGAAAAAUGCCCAGGGCUCCUAAAGAUAAAUCCCUAGGAAGAACUUCUUGAAAAACUAGAACUUCUCAGAAUCCUCAGAAAGAGCAUUCAGGAGGAUCCUAUGGAAAAAUCACAUCCCAGCAGGUACUCCAGCAAAAAUCCCCAGGAAUAACUAUUUAAAAAAAAAAAUAUAAAGUUAAAAUACUUAGAGGAAAAUAGGAAGAAAAAAUGGACGAAUAUUGGCAAGCAGAACUCCUGGUAGAUCUCCAGGCAGAACCCCUAGAAGAAUAAUUCCUACUGGUAACUUUUGGAUUGAAUUCCUAAGGAAAAGCUUUCGGAUAAAAAACUAACGAUGGUACUUUUGGAAAUAAAAUCAUUAGGAAGAACUAAAAAAAAUCCCACAAAUCCCGAAAAAACAGUACACUCCUGAUCGUAGAAAAUAUCGACAAGGAACUAUACUGCCGCCACUCGCAUAACAGUCCCAUCUUUGCUGGGUUUCCUAUUCAUAUGGGACUGUUUUGCGAGUGGGGGCAGUAUAGUUCUAGUAUUUCUUACAAAUAGACGAAAUUCUUAGAAAAAGGGGAAAACGCAAUUUAAUUGGAUGUCCAAAAACAGCGAUUGAAUCAUUCUUAGCGCACUUCAACUUUGUAGCGACUCAAACAGAUCAAAAUACGCGCGGAAACAAUUCGAAGUGAAUUCUUUCCGGCGGGAAAAAUGUGUGUAGAGAUUUUUUCCCUUUCCGCGCCAAAAUCCGUGACCGGGUUUACACUUCGGAAAAAUUGUCAUCCAUGUUUUCCGUCGCGGGAUUUGAAAUUCCGCGCUCCAUUUAAAAUACACAGGGGACCAAAUCCCGUGACACGUUUUCCGAACUGUAAACCAGCCUUAAC